Molecule: long non-coding RNA, 595 nt
Organism: Daphnia pulicaria
Lineage: Eukaryota; Metazoa; Arthropoda; Branchiopoda; Diplostraca; Daphniidae
Exons: 4
Source: RefSeq, a predicted model, not a curated record
CACAUAUAGUGGAAUAUAAAUGUGCCGAGAUAAGGAUCUUUUCUGAAUCUCGCAAUUUUGGUGUGUACCCUGCAACAGCGUGUUGGUUGUUAUGGCUGUUUUUACUUUGGUUUAGAAGGCAACCCAGCUAAGUGAUAGCAUCAGGAAAUUUAUCUCAACAUAUGGAGUAAUGCUGUUGGUUGCUGUGAAUUCCAUUUUAUAUGGUUUUGUCAUCAUGAACUUAUCAUUGUGCUUCUUAGAAAAGAGCACGCAGUUUCUUUGUGGAAUCGUGUGUUCCUGGCACAGAUAUUCUUGUGCCAACGCUGGCUUUUGUCCAUGACCAACGUUCUGCUCCAUCCUUAUCUUCCCGACGUAAGCUCAUCCAGCUUCUGCUUCAUCGCUUCGUACACAAAAUACAACUUGUCUUACUUCAAUGACAAGUUGGAACAUUUCAGUGGUCGCGUCCGUGCCGCUGUUACACAACUGCAGUCACUCACCAUGGGGUUAUGCCCAGGUACCCGACAAUUUACUUAUUUUCGUAGAUUAUCUAUUCUAAUAGUAUACUUACUUGUGUCUGUAAUAAUUUCGAAAUCAGGCCCUACUUGCGCGCAAACGU